This 7153-nucleotide long non-coding RNA is filed under the name Homo sapiens (human). RNAcentral describes it as "non-protein coding TUG1:11". The stretch from base 2264 to 2500 matches the Rfam family "Taurine upregulated gene 1 conserved region 3". The record is from RNAcentral. Lineage: Eukaryota; Metazoa; Chordata; Mammalia; Primates; Hominidae.
GCGGCCGCGGGAUUUGGAGCGGCCGGGGAGGCGGGGGUGGCCGGGGCCGGCUUGGAGGCCUGGCGCCACCCUUCGGGGCCUGCAAGGACCCAGUUGGGGGGGCAGGAGGGGGCCGGAGGAUGGUUGGUUGUGGGAUUUCUACUUUGCCUUUUCCUCCUUAUGCCGCCUUAGUGAGGGGCGGGAGCUCUGGCGGCAGCCCCGGGGUGGGGAGACGAGCUCCGGAGUCGGAAGAGCUGGGUUUUCUUCCGGGCCUAGCCACCAGUUGGCGGAGUGACCUUAGGCGAGUCACUCUGUAAUUUGUCUGCGCCUCAGUUUCCUCCUCUGCCUAUCAAUGUGUGUGGGGUUGAAAUCGCUUUGUAAACUAUAAAGCGUGGGUGUACGUAAAGGAUGGUUAUUGUUUAUAAUUUUUUUUGAGUUGUAAGAAAACUUAGCAGUUCCCCAAUCCUUGGGUUUUGAACCUGGGAACCUUGGAUUGGAGUUGGGGAUCCCCAAACUUCCUGAAAUUGUGGGAAUGUGCGGUUUGGGGGAAUGAUGGGAAUUUGUGGGAAUGUGCGUUUUAGGGGAAUGAUGAUCCAUCGCUAGCAAGUUUUCCAAGGGGGCUGUGACCCAGAAGAGUUAAGAAUCACAAUUUCUUCAUGCUACAGAGAGGAAACUGAGGCCUAGAUGUCAUUUGGGACCCUUCACAACCAUUUUGAAGCCCUGUUUGAGUCCCUGGGAUAUGUGAGCUGUUUCUAUGCAUAAUGGAUAUUCGGGGUUAACAACAGUCCCCUGCUUGGCUUCUAUUCUGAAUCCUUUUCUUUCACCAUGGGGUGCCUGAAGGGUGGCUGAUGCAUAUGGUACAAUGGCACCCAGUGUAAAGCAGCUACAAUUAGGAGUGGAUGUGUUCUGUAGCAUCCUAUUUAAAUAAGCCUAUUUUAUCCUUUGGCCCGUCAACUCUGUUAUCUGCUGCUUGUACUGGUGCCUGUACUUUUCUGACUCUCAUUGACCAUAUUCCACGACCAUGGUUGUCAUCCAUUACUUGAUCCUACUUUACAUGUCUAGGCUGUGUGGUUGGUGGUGAAUAGGCUUCUUUUUACAUGGUGCUGCCAGCCCAGCUAAUUAAUGGUGCACGUGGACUUUUAGCAAGCGGGCUCACUGGAAGAGACUGAACCUGGCAUGGAAUUCCUGAAGAUGUUUGGGGUUUUUUUCUUUCUUAAUCGAAAGUUAACAUUGUCUGAAAAGUUUUGUUAGAACUACUGCGGAACCUCAAAAUCAGUAGAUUUGGAAGUGAUUCAAAGCUAAACUUUUUCCUUGGCCCUCCUUGUGUUCUAAUUGCUUGCAAGUGUAAUACUAGGAUGUCCAAGAUGCCAGUUUUUGCUUCUUUGUUAGUUGUCAGCUGCUUUUAUCAAAUUUCAGGCCAUUAUCCAACAAACACUAUAAAAAUGUUUGAACAAUUGGAUUUCAAACAUUUUCGUUUUGUGGAGUGGUGCUCACCAAGUGGUACAGCCCUAAGCAAGUGAACACAAACACAUUUAAGUGUAUUUUGUCUGAUUAGAUGUUAGCCAGUUAUGCUAUUUCAUUCAAAUGUCUGAAAAAAUCAAUUGACUAUUCCCUUUUCCUAAAGGGCAGAGACAGAUAAUCUCACUUCCAGAGAAAUGACUUGGAGAAAAAAAAGUGUUGGUCUUUUUGCUCUUUUGUAAUUAAAUCCGGAUGUACCUCAAAAGACUUAAGACUGUGGUGAUAAGAUGCUUUCCUCAGCAGAAAGGAGGGAAAAAAAACAACUGGAACUCAAAGCUUGAAAUUCUGUGGCAAAACAUGAGAUGUCCAGGAUUGGAGGUUGAAAAGAUUUCACUACAGUGUUCUGCAAUAGUUGGAGCAGAUAACUUUCAGUGUAGCCACAGCCAUGGACUCCAGAUUUCCAGAUUUUCAAGACCUGGACCUGGAACCCGAAAGAGCUUGUCACGAUGCGGCAGGAACACUGGAGGUAGAUUUUUUUUUAUUUUUGAAUUUUGGGACUGUUGACCUUGCUGUGAGAAAAGAGACAACGACUGAGCAAGCACUACCACCAGCACUGUUACUGGGAAUUAGAAGACCUGAGUUUCUGUCCAGACCCUCAGUGCAAACUGAGGAUGCUCCAUCCAAAGUGAAUUAUGGUAUAGCAGACUCCUUGAAAGCAGGGUCCUUGUUUAGUGCAUCUUUGCCCACAUACACCACAACAUAUCAAGAUGCAUUUAUUAGGAAGGAGGAGUUUAGAGAGCAGGCUAUCAGAAUAACCACUCAGUUCCUGUGCCUCCUGAUUGCUGAGUGUUCACCUGGACCUUCUGACUACCUUCCCUGUGCUAUUCCAUCAGCCUACAGACCUGGUACCUGGAUUUUUGCCCGAGAUGAUUCCUACCACCUUACUACUGACGAAGACACCCAUUCCAGUGGACCACUGUGACCCAGGAGGCAUUCAGCCAUCAUGAUGUGGCCUUUACCUCCACUCCUGUCUUGUUCUACCCAGAUUCAGCACAGCCCUUUAUAGUGAAGUCAGAGUCCUCAAGCCAAAUAGCUAAAGCUGUUUUAUCACAACAAAGGCCUAGUUUGUUCCAUGAGUGUGCAUUUCAUUUCUUCAGUUAAAGCCUUCAGAGACACACAAUAAAUUUGGACCAGGGGAUUUUUUAGUUAUUAAUGCUCUCUGAAGAAAGGCAACAUCUUUUUGAGAGCAGCAUUGGACCACACCCCACAAUCUCAAAUGAUUGAAAUUCAUGAACAUCUAGGAUCCCGUGAAGGUCACUGGACCCUGUUUUUUCUACUUCAAAUCCUGUAGUAGCCUACUGAAUGAGAAAACAUAUUCUGACCCAUUGGGAUCAAAUCAAAGGCACAGUGAACUCCUCAUAGCAUCUUCUUUGGAAUUACUCAGGAACCAGAACUUUUUACACAAAUGUAAGAAAUUCUACCAAGGAGUCCCCUUACCUAACAGCAUCUCACAAGGCUGCACCAGAUUCCAGAAAAGGCUUCUCUUGAUACAUCAAGGUAGAACCUCUAUGGUCAUUUUGUGACCGACUUAUUCUUAGAUCAUUGGUUUUCCAAAGGCUUUGUGGCCAUGAAGCCCUUUGAGUGAAAACUGUGCAGAAGCCCAGAGUAAAAGUGAAGCUGCUCUGGAUGAAGUAGUGAAGCAAGAGUAGGGGCCUGAAUCCUGCUACAACUAUCUUCCUUUACCACCGUGGUGACACCUAAGGGGACUUCCUUACAACACCUUGAACUCUUCCGAACACAGUUUGAAAACCACUGCCCCAGACAGCAAUAUGUUUGACCUGAAUGGCAUUCCAAUCUUUUCUGUACCUCCACUCAGCACAGUUCAUGUUCAGUAGAUGCUGAACAUUCUUAGAAAUACUGUGUGUGAACUUAGAAAAGUGCAAGAAGACAGGCAUGUCUUUGACCCCAGGAAUGAUCAUUUGCUGAAGAUGGUGUCAAGUGAACCUAGAUUAACAGCCCUCCACUCCAGAUGGAUAUCCAGUGAUUCCUAGAAUGGGAUAUAGCCAGAGAACAAUUCUAUGCACCCUACACUGACAGACUCCCUUAAGCAACACCAGAUGCUCUACUGGUACUUGAAGUACAUGACUUUGAAGUCUUGACCCUCCAUGAAUACCUGAAUUAUCAGCAAGCGGGUUUUGAAGCUGGUGCCUCAUUGAGGCCAUAUUAGAGCAACUUGUACAUUUGACCUCUUGUUAUCAGCCAUGGUACUCUACUUCGUGUGCAAGAGAUAACUAUGAAAGCCAAAUUCAAAUACUGGCAACAUUUCCUAAAGGGGCUCAAUAUCUAUCAUUCGUCUUCUUUUCCAAACUACACAUCACUGUAUGACUCAACCAGUAGCAGUUAUAUUGCCCCUUGGUUUUUAUUCAGUUUAACUACUGUUUCCAAGAUAAAUGAGCUAAUAAGCUUUAAAAAAAAAAAAAAAAAAGGCUGAAUUCUUUUUUCUUCAUCACUGGCAUAUCUGCCUAUUCUCCAGAAUUAUUAUGACUAUUCAGCUCACUUUAACAGUUGAACUUCAAGCGACAAUCUUUGAACACCCCUUCUCAUGUGAUUUAAAAUGAAACCAUUUGGAAAAGUUUCUUCUAGCCAGUAAUAGAUUUUUUUUUUAAUUGCUCUGCCUUGUGCCGAGAGAUGUUCUUUUAAGAUGAAUCUUUUGAUGUCUGAUACCACCAAAUAUAGGUGGUAGGGAGAGUUGGAGGCUGGCCCUUUGAGCAGGCCAUUAGCUUACUUGCUGGGCAUUUCCGAUAGCUUAUUGCCUACCUUUUUGCUGGAAACAAACUGAUUUGAAAAACAAAAUCUAUGAAGACUGCAGCUAAGGAUUUUAUCGGUAGACUUAAGAGCUUUUGUCCUUGUGGAUAUUUUAGUGGAACCACAUCAGUCUCAAUACUGUCAUUUUACACUGACUCAGAGCAGCUGACUUCAUUCCUUGCCAUGAUAUAUAUUUAAGGCAGGCAUUGUAACAGACAUAAAGACAACUUAUCUGUUUCAGCAGGAAGGAUUCAGUUUAUGAACUCUCAGACCAGAUCAUGUUGAACAAGGAGACUUUGAUGUGUGUCAUGAGAAAACUCAUUCUUUACUUCCCAGUCAAUUUAAAGGCCAGCUAUCCUGAGCUACUCGAAUGAAUGCACUGGUUAAACAUUGGAAAUAGUUUGUUUAUAUCCUUGUCUCUCUCUAGGCCAAUUGUGAUUACAUGACUCGACUCUACAUCUCGUCAAACAAGGCCUAGGUCUGGUUGCUGUAGACUGCUCGCCCUCAACAAAUAAAAUCUGGUUGACUAGCCUCCUUGUAUAUACAACUAUUAUUUGUUAAGAAGAAAUUAUCGUCAAUUUUCUACUACCUUCCAAUUGUCAGCUCUUUUUUUCCUCUCUGGUUUUUCCUAUACUUUACAGAAAAAGACAUUGAUCUAUACUGCCAUUCCCUCUAAUCCUGCCAUACUCAGUCAAAAGGAAUGACUUAAGAUGAAGAUGAUCAUCUGCUCGAGUCUAAAAUAUACAUUGUAUAUAAGAAUUGGUGAUUAGAAAAGCAAAAAACCUAAAACUUAAAUCUAGGAGUCUGUAUACUGUCUCCAUGUCUCCAUGCCUCAGAUCUCAUCUAAAUCUUUGAACAGCACCAUUCAACCAAUCUGAGGCCUUGACUUGCUUGUAAGAUGAUUCUCAGAGAUCGGCUGAGUUAAAAAAGAUGACGACUUGAUUACCAAAGAAAGUAGGGCCAACUUUGACAAAUCUGGCUCUGCUGACCCUGUCACUCCCAGAUGUAGCAUAGACUCCUAAACAGAACCUCAAGUCUGAUUGAGGAUAAGGCCUUCUCCUGAGCUGAAAGUUCUUUGGCAGAUGAGCAAGAAACUGAAAGCUGAUGUACCUGACUGGCUCUGUAAGAUCAGAAAACUGUAUCCAGAAUAAGCCCUAUGGAUUAACCCCUGAGUACCCAGAGUAAAAACUAAUUUACAGAACUUCCUUAUUGAUCUGCUGGUUCUUCCAGAUCAUAUUCUGGCUAUUGGUAUGGCUGGCCUUUCUGAAGGUACCCUGCUUGUCUAUUUUCCUGACUCAGCUCUUGCCUGCCUUUUUCACAUGUUGCUGCAAUUAGACUCACCGUGAGGACUACAGUCAAUUUCAGUCUAUCUUGUGCCCAAUACAACAAGGAUUUUUAAUAGUAACAACCCACACCUCACCCACUAGGACUCAAUGUUCACAACAGGAAGGACCAUUGCUGCAUACUCCUUGACCAGCAACUUUUUUGAAGAUAUUUUUAAGUGCAGAGUAGGCCUCUAUUCCUGUAUGUAAUUGUUCAUUUUCAGCACCUGGAACCUCAUCUAUCGGGUCUGGAAGGAAUACAGCAGUUCGAAAGCCGCGUCCAUUUCUCUCCUUCAGUAGUGCAGAAAUGAGUCCGAUUCACCAGUACACACAGAACUGUACCAGUUCAACCUAGCAAAAGAAGAAAAGUUUCCACUGUACUUAAAAUUUACAGCUGACUCAAAUUGCCUCACAGAAUUAUUUGAUGUAGAAGGCUAGUUGUCUUACUUCAGAUCAGCAGGACAGUUGGGCUCUCAGACUCAUGACCACUGAGUUUGCUUGUGUUGAAACUGUGGUUUCAUCCAACAUAUGCUAUUGGACAUGAUUAUUAUUCCAUUCAAAUGGAUUACAGACUUCUUGAGGACAGGACAAACUUAUCUCUCAUGGUGUUUUUUUAGAAUACUUUUAUAACCAAGGAAGAAACCAUGCCAGCUGUUACCAUUCAACUUCUUAAGCAGAGAUUAAGCUUUUUCAUAUCUGUUCUUAUCCUGGACAUCAGUAGUUUUUAAUUGCCCAGCAUCCGUUCCAUCUUGUAACAACUCCCUGAUGUUUCUUAAAACCACCUCUUCCUAUUUUCAGUCUGUGGUUUGGACAGUCUGACCCAACCUUGAGCUUUGUGGGUGAACAUGUAAUUCAGACCUCAUCAAUCAGCAAAUCCAUCUGAACUGUGGAGGAGAAGCUCUCUUUACUGAGGGUGCUUUAGCUUUGUAGGAUGAAAACCUCAAACUAACAGGGCCUACCAUGUAGAGAAUGAAGCCAGUGCAGGGGAAAGCAGAGCCAAAAUAUGGAGAGACUUGAAUCCUGAUGACAGCGUUUGUGCCCCUGGAUCCAACCGUGCCUGAAGCUAGAAUAUCCCCUGGACUUUUCAGUUAUGUGAACCAAUAAAUACCCUUUUUUGCUUAAGUUACUUUGAGUUGGGUUUCUGUUACUUGAAAUUGAAUCCACACUAAUAUAUCUACCAACAUUGAGACUUGACAGAUCCAAGUAUUUAUUAAGCUAGAGGUCAUGGUCACUGAAAUUACUUUCCAAAGUGGAAGACAAAAUGAAACAGGAACUGAGGGAAUAUUUAAGAUCCCACAGAAGCGUAAAAAUGACAUGGUAGAAAGUAAUAGAAAACCUAAAUGUCUGUCAUUAAAGGAUAGGUUAAGGUGUGGUUCAGCCAUAUAGGAAUAUCUCGUAUCUGUUAAAAUGAAUAAAGUACAUUCAUUGUGUAUGGAAAAAUGGCCAUGAUACAUUAGGUGAAACAAGUUAUUAAUAGAAAAGUGUACAGUGUGAACUCAUUUUAAAAUGUGUGUGCUUAUGUUUAUAAAUGCAUAGAAAGGUCUAUUCACAGCUUUCUUUGAACAGUGUAGAUCACAUGAAACUUUCAA